UGGUGGGACGUCCACCCUCUACCCCCCUCGAUUCCCGAGAAAUUCAAAGACGGGGCUAAAUACGGGCGUAUAUCAGCAUGGGGAUUCGGAGUUGUGCAAGAGAGCAACCGCAAUGAUCUUCCCAUCGGUAGUCUCGUGUACGGCUACCUGCCCAUUGGAACUCUGCCAGUCGACCUGGCCCUGUCACCGUCUACGGUUGUAGACGGCAAAUUUUCGUGAAACCAGCCCUCACAGGGCAAAGCAAUUCCCAAUAUACAACGAAUAUCUCACUUUCUCACCAGCCCAGGUAUCAGGCUUGUCGGAUAAGCGUCUUGCCUGGGAUGCCUUGCUAAAGCUACCUCUUUCACUAGCGCAUAGGCUCAACCACUACGUUUUCGCAUGGAAUGAAGUCCGAUUAGCACCACCAUCGACGUUGGUGCUCGGUCCAACUCCUCGUCCGCCAUGGACCAUGGAAGAGGCAAACAUCACAGAUGCGGUGGUAAUCAUCCUGGCUGCGUCUGGAAAGAACGCAGCGAUGUUCGCUCACCAGUUGAAGUUUACGCGACCAGCAGGGUCUCAGAUUGUCGCCGUCACGAGCCAGACGUCCCGGGCAUUUGUGGAAACUACAG
This 608-nucleotide small RNA is filed under the name Histoplasma ohiense. Its description in RNAcentral is "hypothetical lncRNA". Lineage: Eukaryota; Fungi; Ascomycota; Eurotiomycetes; Onygenales; Ajellomycetaceae. The record is from RNAcentral.